UGGGGAAUAUUGCACAAUGGAGGGAACUCUGAUGCAGCAACGCCGCGUGCGGGAUGACGGCCCUCGGGUUGUAAACCGCUUUCAGCCAUGACGAAGCUUUUGUGACGGUAGUGGUAGAAGAAGCACCGGCUAACUACGUGCCAGCAGCCGCGGUGAUACGUAGGGUGCGAGCGUUGUCCGGAAUUAUUGGGCGUAAAGAGCUUGUAGGCGGUUUGUCGCGUCGAUAGUGUAAACACGCAGCUUAACUGUGUGCCUGCUGUCGAUACGGGCUGACUAGAGGAGGGUAGGGGGGAAUGGAAUUCCCGGUGGAGCGGUGGAAUGCGCAGAUAUCGGGAGGAACACCAGUGGCGAAGGCGGUUCUCUGGACCUUUCCUGACGCUGAGAAGCGAGAGCGUGGGUAGAAAACAGG
Molecule: ribosomal RNA, 409 nt
Filed under: Fusobacteriota bacterium
Lineage: Bacteria; Fusobacteriati; Fusobacteriota
Description: Fusobacteria bacterium partial 16S ribosomal RNA
Rfam family: Bacterial small subunit ribosomal RNA
Source: RNAcentral